RNAcentral lists this long non-coding RNA (841 nucleotides) under Parus major (Great Tit). Its description in RNAcentral is "lncRNA (ENSPMJG00000005809.1)". Lineage: Eukaryota; Metazoa; Chordata; Aves; Passeriformes; Paridae. The record is from RNAcentral.
AUCAGAUAUAAUCAUUAUUCCAUGCUAGUAAUGAUUUUUUUUUCCCCCCAACUCAGAUAUAUGAGCUGGGCUCUACAUACUUCAGGAACCUUUGGAAAAUGCUGCAUAUUUGUGUUUCAGCUGUGAGAUAUCUUCAGCUUCCAGGUAACAGCUUUGUACCUGGAAGGUAAUUCCUGAAGAAGAGCCUCAGCCCUGAUAACUACAAGCAAGUGGUUUGCCAAGUUCAAACUUCAGGACAUUUCCACUGCUGGAGCUGCUCUUGCCGUGGACUAAUGAAGACAUCACAGGGAGUGAACCACAAGACACUCGUGUCUGGAAGACAAACAUCAGCCUGGGUGAUAUGCAAGCUAGCAAAUACCAGAAAGAAUUUGGAGUAAAGAAGUUUUGGGCCUUGUUUAAAUUGUUUCUGCUGACAAGGUUUACCAUUCCUCAGCCUGAAUACGUAUCCAUUAUUGGGUUUUGUGUGAAGGAGCUGACGUUUACCAAGGUUGCUACUGUUACUAUCACAACAGAAGAAGGAACAGCUGCAGCAAACAGGUUAGACCUGUGCCUUCCAAUGAUCCAUUAACAUGAUGGAGCCAAGAUGCAUGGUGAUGGACUCCAGGUACCAGGGCCAUGGUGGGGUAAAGAAAGGUGAGGGGAGGAAGGAAUGGCAGAGUGGGGCUGUUAGGGACUGUUACCUGCAUUCCUCUGCUCCCUGUACUACUCAGUGGUGAGAGGAAUCAGGAAGGAAGGUGUGGUGCUGCACCAGAGAAGAAGCAGGAGGUGGGUGUUAAUUUUUGUUUGUGUUUCUCACCAUCCAACUCUAUUCUAAUUUGCAAUAAAUUGAAUUAAUUUUCCA